CUAAAACUAUAAAAAAAACUAAAUGGAGACCAAUUGAAAAGAGGCUUUGGGGGAAGUGCUGAAUGCUCUGCAGUUGCCUACAGGGAGUGCCCGGCUGGAAGAGACGAGGGAAUUCUGGAAAUGACCUUGGAAAAGUCUUGCAGCUUCUUUUCCCGGCAGCCGUACAGAACUAUGGAUUUAGUCCUGCUGGUGAAGUGUCCUCAGAUUUGCCAGACUUGUGAAGUCAUGAAUCACAGGACCCUGAAAUAGCUGCCAUGUCCAGCAAACUGAAGUCCUUCUGCCUUCCACCGUUACCUCUUCCCCCCACGCUGAAACGUCAGUCACUCUCUUUAUUUGUUGCACACUCCACCGCUUAUUAACCCAGUGAACUGACAGUUGCGGGGGCAUGGAUUUAAAGGGGAGCUAUCUAGAAAAUGUAAAAUACGAUUCAGCAUACUGAAAUAUGAAACGUUU
This is a long non-coding RNA of Xenopus laevis (African clawed frog), 453 nucleotides long. RefSeq lists it as uncharacterized. The record is from RefSeq and is a predicted model, not a curated record. The transcript is spliced from 3 exons. Lineage: Eukaryota; Metazoa; Chordata; Amphibia; Anura; Pipidae.